GUGGAUUAGAUACCCGGGUAGUCCACGCCCUAAACGAUGUCAACUAGGUGUUGGGUGGGUAAAACCAUUUAGUACCGGAGCUAACGCGUGAAGUUGACCGCCUGGGGAGUACGGCCGCAAGGUUAAAACUCAAAGGAAUUGACGGGGACCCGCACAAGCGGUGGAUGAUGUGGAUUAAUUCGAUGCAACGCGAAAAACCUUACCUACCCUUGACAUGUCCAGGAGCCUGAAGAGAUUUGGGUGUGCCCGAAAGGGAACUGGAACACAGGUGCUGCACGGUCGUCGACAACU
This 291-nucleotide ribosomal RNA is filed under the name uncultured bacterium. RNAcentral describes it as "partial 16S ribosomal RNA". It matches the Rfam family "Bacterial small subunit ribosomal RNA", at positions 773 to 1060 of the family's 1533-position model. The record is from RNAcentral.